This 372-nucleotide long non-coding RNA is filed under the name Heterocephalus glaber (naked mole-rat). RNAcentral describes it as "lncRNA (ENSHGLG00100033041.1)". The record is from RNAcentral. Lineage: Eukaryota; Metazoa; Chordata; Mammalia; Rodentia; Bathyergidae.
CCCAACCAAAGGAGCCACCACAUCUUGGAUUCUGAAUCUCCAGAACUUGUGUGGAAAUCUGUGUCCGUACGCUACACAUGUCCUACAAAAGCUCCGUUCCACGUGUGUGAAGCGUGUUCACUACAGCUGGCAACGUUAGAGCGCCUGCCUGGUGCCCCCGAGGGUUGUGUGUCCGGAGAAUGAAGUAACCCUGAAGUUGCUUCGAGUCAGGAUGUGGCCCUGGGUGGGCCCUCUUCAGCUUCUCAGGGAAAGAGGAGAAGAUCUCCCUGUGAGACCUUCCGGAUCAGGCCAUGAGGGCUGCUGUGAGAAGAUGCCAUAGGCCGAGUGACACUAUUGUCGGACUGUUCCGAAGGCUGGAGCCUUAGAUGGAGG